This 220-nucleotide ribosomal RNA is filed under the name uncultured Entrophospora. Its description in RNAcentral is "uncultured Claroideoglomus partial small subunit ribosomal RNA". It matches the Rfam family "Eukaryotic small subunit ribosomal RNA", at positions 591 to 811 of the family's 1831-position model. The record is from RNAcentral. Lineage: Eukaryota; Fungi; Glomeromycota; Glomeromycetes; Entrophosporales; Entrophosporaceae.
CCAAUAGCGUAUAUUAAAGUUGUUGCAGUUAAAAAGCUCGUAGUUGAAUUUCGGGAUUGACACAUCGGUCGUGCCCUAAGGGGUAUGAACUGGUGUAGUCAAUUUCUCACCUUCUGGAGAACCGCGCUGUCCUUAAUUGGGUGACGCGGGGAACCAGGACCUUUACUUUGAAAAAAUUAGAGUGUUUAAAGCAGGCAUUUUGCUUGAAUACAUUAGCAUG